AUAAAAACUGUGAACAGAAGAGUAGAUAUGGUUUUUGAUUUUAAGCGAGUGGAAGAUGGUGAAAGUUCCAUAUGAUUGCUAUAUUGAAGAACAUCUGGGAGUUGCUAACCGAACCCUUAAUUGUUAGUAGGAUUAGACGGAUAAGGUCGUUAUAACCUUUUAAGUAUGGUAGUACUUAAGCUAAGUGGUCGAGAGACUAUUUGGGUGGCACCACGGAGAUAUCCCUUCGUCCCAUUG
This 237-nucleotide non-coding RNA is filed under the name Clostridium cylindrosporum. RNAcentral's name for it is "T-box sequence". It matches the Rfam family "T-box leader". Rfam says of the family: Uncharged tRNA acts as the effector for transcription antitermination of genes in the T-box leader family. T-boxes are found upstream of many aminoacyl-tRNA synthetase genes and some amino acid biosynthetic genes usually in Gram-positive bacteria. Lineage: Bacteria; Bacillati; Bacillota; Clostridia; Eubacteriales; Clostridiaceae. The record is from RNAcentral.